GAUGAACGCUGGCGGCGUGCCUAAUACAUGCAAGUCGAGCGAACGGACGAGAAGCUUGCUUCUCUGAUGUUAGCGGCGGACGGGUGAGUAACACGUGGAUAACCUACCUAUAAGACUGGGAUAACUUCGGGAAACCGGAGCUAAUACCGGAUAAUAUUUUGAACCGCAUGGUUCAAAAGUGAAAGACGGUCUUGCUGUCACUUAUAGAUGGAUCCGCGCUGCAUUGGCUAGUUGGUAAGGUAACGGCUUACCAAGGCAACGAUGCAUAGCCGACCUGAGAGGGUGAUCGGCCACACUGGAACUGAGACACGGUCCAGACUCCUACGGGAGGCAGCAGUAGGGAAUCUUCCGCAAUGGGCGAAAGCCUGACGGAGCAACGCCGCGUGAGUGAUGAGGGUCUUCGGAUCGUAAAACUCUGUUAUUAGGGAAGAACAUAUGUGUAAGUAACUGUGCACAUCUUGACGGUACCUAAUCAGAAAGCCACGGCUAACUACGUG
Molecule: ribosomal RNA, 497 nt
Filed under: uncultured bacterium
Lineage: Bacteria
Description: partial 16S ribosomal RNA
Rfam family: Bacterial small subunit ribosomal RNA
Source: RNAcentral